Molecule: long non-coding RNA, 744 nt
Organism: Chelonia mydas (Green sea turtle)
Lineage: Eukaryota; Metazoa; Chordata; Testudines; Cheloniidae
Exons: 3
Source: RefSeq, a predicted model, not a curated record
GCUGCUACUCAGAAACCUGACAUACCACAGUUAUUAGUUUUGUAAUUUCAUAUUUGAGUUCCUUCAGGACUCGAGUGAAUGCCAUCUGGCCCUGGUGACUUAUUCUUCAAUUUGUUCCAAAACCUCCUCUGAGACCUCAAUCUGGGACAGUUCCUCAGAUUUGUCACCUAAAAAGAAUGGCUUCCUCUGCAGUGAAGUCUGAUGCAAAGAAUUCAUUUAGCUUUUCCACAAUGGAAAAGUACUUCAGUUGUCCACUGAUUUUCCUUCUUCUGAUGUGGUUAAAACAAAAUUGCUCUUAGUUUGUGUGUCUUUGCUAGCUGCUCUUCAGAUGCUUUUUUUUGGCCUGCCUAAUUAUACUUUUACACUUGCCACAGUUUAUACUCCUUUCUAUUUUCCUCAGUUGGAUUUGAUUUCCCGCUUUUUUUCAAAAUGUCUUUUUGUCUCUAACUGCCUCUUUUACUCUGUUUAGCCAAAGUGGCUUGUUUUUUAGGGGGUCCUCUUACAGUUUAUAUUUAAACUUGGGGUAUUGUUACCUAUGAACUCUGUGUUCUUGGGGAACCAGGGCGCAGUAUCGAGUCUGUCUGACUGAUGAAAGACCUUCCCCCCGCCCAGCCUCUACUUGAGCCAAAGCCGAUCAGAAGAAAGACUUACAAAAAGCAAUGAAAAGGCAGUAGAAGACUCACCUAAACCCCUCCAGACAAGGGUGACAGGAUUAAGGAAACUCCCCAUGCCUCAUUUGCAUCA